Molecule: ribosomal RNA, 520 nt
Filed under: Scinax melanodactylus
Lineage: Eukaryota; Metazoa; Chordata; Amphibia; Anura; Hylidae
Description: partial 12S small subunit ribosomal RNA
Rfam family: Bacterial small subunit ribosomal RNA
Source: RNAcentral
AAACAAACUGGGAUUAGAUACCCCACUAUGCCUAGCCGUAAACCUUAACUUACACCCAAAUCGCCAGGGAACUACGAGCGAAAGCUUAAAACCCAAAGGACUUGACGGUACCCCACAUCCACCUAGAGGAGCCUGUCCUAUAAUCGAUAAUCCCCGUUUAACCUCACCAUUUUUUGCUUUUCAGCCUGUAUACCUCCGUCGUCAGCUUACCACGUGAGCGCCCCUCAGUGAGCUAAAUGUCCUUCGUCAAAACGUCAGGUCAAGGUGCAGCAUACAAAAUGGGAAGAGAUGGGCUACACUCUCUAACAUAGAACACACGAAAGGCUACAUAUGAAACCCUAGCCUGAAGGCGGAUUUAGUAGUAAAAAGAGACAAGAGAGCUCUUUUUAACACGGCACUGGGGUGUGUACACACCGCCCGUCACCCUCUUCAAAGCCACAAAACAGUAUUUAACACCACAAAGCAACAAAGAAGAGGCAAGUCGUAACAUGGUAAGUAUACCGGAAGGUGUGCUUGGAAA